CAAAGAGACAGCUGUAUGUACUCGGUAGCAGCAAACAUCUUGCAGCCACCUUGAAGAUUCACAUGCUUUCAAGGGACCAGCUACCCCUGAGAACAGUGAAAAGGACCAGCUCUUAAAGAUUUUGUGAACUAUAAGAGUCUAACUGCCUAAGAACGUCACCAUCUUUUCAAGGCAGAAACAGAUUAAAAAUUAUUUUCUUCUCUGUGAUGUACCAAUUGCAAUUGAUUUCUCUACUGUUCUUUAAAACGAAGUGGCAAAAGAAAUAGCAAAAAUGUUAGCAAUAAAAUACUAAUGAAAGUGUCUGUGCUCAAAGAAGAGGAAUUGCUGGAGGUGGAAGAAAUAAAGAAGCCUUGUGAGCACCAAGAAAGCCUUCAAAAAUACCAAUGCACCUGUACUAUAAUAGGGAACCAGCCUAGAGGAACCAGAGCAUCAUUACAAGCAAACUUUUAAUACAUUGCUUUCUGGGGAACAACAAUACAUUAUUCUUUUUUUAAAAAUCAUAAUAUUGUUAUAUUAUACACUGUAAGAAGUAAUGUUUGCUCACUACUCCUAAAGCACAUUUGAGAGGUUUAUACUUGUAAAGUGUAAUGUUAAAAAAUAAAAGUUGGCCCAACAGGAUAGCAUGCACAAAUAUGUUGCUGUAUACACAAUCAGGAAGAGUUCCCACAGACCCGUCUUAUCAUGAUGUGCACACCAGACCAAUGUAUUUAUUACAGAACCAGGGAGGGAGAAAUUCAAAAACAGUCAGUUGCUUUUAAAAGAAAAAAUAACAUUUUCAGCUAAUAGUUUUAUUUGGAUGCUAUAAAUAACUCAUGGAUCACGUUGCAGAUAAGUUGGUGGGAUAAGACUCCCAUUUUUGGGUUUCUAGGCUUAGGUCAGAUAAUAGAACACAUGGAGAAACUCCAAAUGGACACAUGUUUCUGUGGGCAAUGGGCGGCUGCCAA
This is a long non-coding RNA of Sceloporus undulatus (fence lizard), 944 nucleotides long. RefSeq lists it as uncharacterized. The transcript has 3 exons. Lineage: Eukaryota; Metazoa; Chordata; Lepidosauria; Squamata; Phrynosomatidae. The record is from RefSeq and is a predicted model, not a curated record.